RNAcentral lists this ribosomal RNA (583 nucleotides) under Citrobacter werkmanii. Its description in RNAcentral is "partial 23S ribosomal RNA". It matches the Rfam family "Bacterial large subunit ribosomal RNA", at positions 911 to 1496 of the family's 2925-position model. Lineage: Bacteria; Pseudomonadati; Pseudomonadota; Gammaproteobacteria; Enterobacterales; Enterobacteriaceae. The record is from RNAcentral.
UGUUUCGGCUAGGGGGUCAUCCCGACUUACCAACCCGAUGCAAACUGCGAAUACCGAAGAAUGUUAUCACGGGAGACACACGGCGGGUGCUAACGUCCGUCGUGAAGAGGGAAACAACCCAGACCGCCAGCUAAGGUCCCAAAGUCAUGGUUAAGUGGGAAACGAUGUGGGAAGGCACAGACAGCCAGGAUGUUGGCUUAGAAGCAGCCAUCAUUUAAAGAAAGCGUAAUAGCUCACUGGUCGAGUCGGCCUGCGCGGAAGAUGUAACGGGGCUAAACCAUGCACCGAAGCUGCGGCAGCGACACUAUGUGUUGUUGGGUAGGGGAGCGUUCUGUAAGCCGUUGAAGGUGUCCUGUGAGGGAUGCUGGAGGUAUCAGAAGUGCGAAUGCUGACAUAAGUAACGAUAAUGCGGGUGAAAAACCCGCACGCCGGAAGACCAAGGGUUCCUGUCCAACGUUAAUCGGGGCAGGGUGAGUCGACCCCUAAGGCGAGGCCGAAAGGCGUAGUCGAUGGGAAACAGGUUAAUAUUCCUGUACUUGGUGUUACUGCGAAGGGGGGACGGAGAAGGCUAUGUUGGCCGGGC